AUUGAACGCUGGCGGCAGGCCUAACACAUGCAAGUCGAACGGUAACAGGAAGCAGCUUGCUGCUUCGCUGACGAGUGGCGGACGGGUGAGUAAUGUCUGGGAAACUGCCUGAUGGAGGGGGAUAACUACUGGAAACGGUAGCUAAUACCGCAUAACGUCGCAAGACCAAAGAGGGGGACCUUAGGGCCUCUUGCCAUCGGAUGUGCCCAGAUGGGAUUAGCUAGUAGGUGGGGUAACGGCGCACCUAGGCGACGAUCCCUAGCUGGUCUGAGAGGAUGACCAGCCACACUGGAACUGAGACACGGUCCAGACUCCUACGGGAGGCAGCAGUGGGGAAUAUUGCACAAUGGGCGCAAGCCUGAUGCAGCCAUGCCGCGUGUAUGAAGAAGGCCUUCGGGUUGUAAAGUACUUUCAGCGGGGAGGAAGGGAGUAAAGUUAAUACCUUUGCUCAUUGACGUUACCCGCAGAAGAAGCACCGGCUAACUCCGUG
This 490-nucleotide ribosomal RNA is filed under the name uncultured bacterium. RNAcentral's name for it is "partial 16S ribosomal RNA". It matches the Rfam family "Bacterial small subunit ribosomal RNA", at positions 30 to 507 of the family's 1533-position model. The record is from RNAcentral.